Cygnus olor (mute swan) is the source of this 3978-nucleotide long non-coding RNA. RefSeq lists it as uncharacterized. The record is from RefSeq and is a predicted model, not a curated record. The transcript is spliced from 2 exons. NCBI's taxonomy places the organism in Eukaryota, Metazoa, Chordata, Aves, Anseriformes, Anatidae.
GAAAAUUUUAUUCUUUAUUGAACUUUAAUAGCUUUCGUUCUUUUUAAACACAAUAAAUACUUCAGUAAUAGCAUUUAAGAGACGAAUUCAAACUCACUUCAGUACCUAAACUCCCAGCCUGAGGACGGCUCCAGGGAAGGAAUUGGGGUCCUGGGGCCCACAGCCAUGCCAGGGCUGCUCAUGGCCAGGCAGGCUGGGCUGAGGGACCCCCACCAAAACCAGCAUCCACUUCAACUAAAAGCUCGAGGGACAGAAGCAGGCCAGGCUCCCUGCAUGAGGGGUAGAGGAAAAUUUUGAUCCAUGGGGGCUCAGACAAGGCUGCAAUGCCACGCUGGUGCUGCAGAUCUGCGUUAGAACAGCAAAAAGCAAACAAGCCUUCAUCUGGCCCAGCACUGCUGCCAGCCCACAGCACCGGAGCGGGACCGACACAUCGCACUGGAAGAUUUUGGGCUGGGGUGUGUAGGUGCUGGAGGAACUCCUCCUGCGCCUCAAGCAAGUGAUGCACACUAAGCAAAAAGGGACAACUGGAAACAAGAGAGCUUCAGGGAAUUUCCUACAGGUUUCAGAAGGAUACAAAAGCCCCGUGCACAGUUGUGCCAUAAACUAAGGUGACCAGAGCUUCAGCUACAGCUCCCACGUGCGCACAAAGCAGCUGCACUCUUGGAUCCGCGUGUAUACACACAAAUCUCUACCUCUUUCCCAGAGGCUUCUCAGAUCUAUCCCAAGCAGGCACAGAUGCUCCCAGAGAAGAUUUUAGGGGUCUUGCUAGAACUGACUGGCUCUCAGGGGCACAGAUCAAAGCUGCUCUCAGAUUACAAACUGCAGGUACUCCCUGCACCCAGAGUAACACCAGGCCAGCUCUAAGAGUAUGUGUUUUCAGUGCAUUAGAAGCUCACACUUACAGCAUCUUGCUCUCCUGGCCCUGGCUGCAUCGGGUGACUGAUGUUUGCGAGAGGAGAGGCUGCUGCUGAGCCAUGCGAGCACUGCGGGACAGCCGGAGCCAACUGCGGCACAGACACUGCGGGGAAGGAAUGAGCUAAAAACCACAGUGCUCACGUCCAUGAUUUUCAGGCAGUGAUUGCGCCUAUAAAACAUUUCUUAGUGUGAACACUGCUUUAAUGUAAACUCCAUGAGACCACAAAACCUACACGCCAGCCUCAGCUGGGGAAUUCCUGCGCUAGGUCCCUGUGUGGGUGCAGAGGCAGGAGCCAGAGACACGAAGCCACACAACUGAGAUAAAAAGGCUGCGUUAACCCAGCCUGCAAGGCUGCCCCAACCAGGUGAGCCCAGCACCAGCCCACUAACGUGUCCCAGCUCCCCACUUCACCACGAAGGGUGACCAACUGCAGGAAGGAGCAGGAGCAGGAGCAGCAGCACCGGGACCCACCUGGAGCCCGAGGCCAGGAGCCCAACGGUCCUGUGGGUCCUGAAGGACUGCACCCUCCCUGAACAGGCUUUUUCCCCCAGUAAUACUCUGGAUUGAGAUAAACUCAGGUCCACCAGUAAUUAAGAAACUAUGAUCAACUCUAUCCCUGGAAGAAGCGACAGCACAAACUGCAAGGACUGGCCCCAGGCAGGCCUGAGGACACAGCCCGGCCAGCAAGGGGAGCAACCAGCACCGUAACACACUUACCCUCACAUGCAGUUAGCAAGGAAUAAAUUUAUUUUUAAGACUUAAAACCAUUAUUAUUAAUAAAUAAUUUGUUUCUCAGCAUGCCCUACCCCACCAUGGCGAGAUGGUUUGGUCUUUCUGCUCAAGUGUUUCCGUUCCCCCAGAAGUUGGGAUCAGAAAUCACCCAAGUUACAACAGCCCAGACAGAAACCCACCCAGCUUCACAGCAGCACGAGUCAGAAACGGAGUUGGAUGCCCACCGAGACCAGGUCUGCUCUCACCUCGCUUUGCCACGAGCCUGGCAGCACUAGAGAGGAGCGAGCCUGCUUUCCAGCACUGAUUUAAGAUUUAAGCAGGUAUUUUUCUAGCUUCAAGGUGCAAUAAAUUAAGGCACCAAAAAUCCAGGACUCUUCAAAGAUAAAGCCUGUGCAGAUAGGAAGUGGUUCCAGUUUUUAAGAGACAGCUUUUUCCUACAGCACAAGUAUUUGCAGGAUUUUAGAGAGGAAGUCCUGCUUCCACAUGUUUGUAGCUUUACAAAGGCUUUUUUUUUCAGGUAUACUCUUACGGGCUGCAAAAAUCCACCAGCUCACAGCCAAGCAAGACAAGAGACAAACUGUGUACUAAGGAGACAAAGGGACAUCCCAAGGUUUAAGAUCAGACAUCCUCUCGCAGCACUGGUGAGCCCAGUCCUCAGGCCCAGCAGUGCUAUGGGAAGAGCCAGGACAACACAAGCUCCAGGCUCGGGACCCCAGAGCUCAGCUGAAAGGCUGAGGGAACAGCUCAGUUGUUCCCUAGUCCUGCAGACGUCUAACUAGAAAAUAAGUCAUCUAACUGCAGCUUUUGCCAGUGCUGCUAGCGCAGUUUUGCUACCUGAACAGGCCCCACAGGUAAGCGUUGUGUUCUCUUUCAGAGAUUCCCUGUAAUUCCUGUGCGAGCGUGACUUACAUUUACCUCCCUUCACAACUGCAUUUCAUUAAACAGCCAGAGUCAAAGAUUCAAGCACAGCCCAAUUCCUUUGCGCACUUCAUUUUUUUCUGUACAAUGUCAGUAAAAUAUAUAGAGUAAGCUACUUUAUUAAAUAAAUUCUGAAGACCAUUUGCCCCCUCUCCCAGAUAAGACACCGUUUGCAGACACGUGGCUGUACAGACACGAACAGACAGACGAGCAGCCGAGCCCUCCGGUGGCGCCAGCCCAGACAACUGCCCCAGCCGACCCCACGCAGGACGUACCGUGACCAAGCAACCCCGAUUCCACCCACGGCACCGCACAGAGCAGUGAACACUGCGAGCUGCCUUAGGAUUUCAAGUCUCAGUCUGCAUGACAAUGAUUCAAAUUUACAAAAAAAAAAAGCAAACAAAAAAAAUCCCAAAUCAUUAAAUAGUAGUUACAGCUUGAAGGUUUCCUAAAGCAGGAGGAGGAGUCUUCACCUGCGGAAGGAAAAUGCCAUGACCAAGCUUCCAUGACCCGCAAUGAUCAGUGUGUAAGAGACUUUGUUCCCAUGGUAAUUACAUAUGCACAAUCUGCUGUGCUUGUCCACUUCCGGAUGCAGCCUUUCCAGAACCUGGGUUUAAGCUACACUCUUCAUUCAAGCACAGGUCUUCAUUAAAUAAAAGUGAACAGAAAAGAAAAUCAGCAUUCAGUCUUCACCACCCCACUCUCAAUUAACUCAAUUACAGAAACGUUUAAAAAAGAAAAUCAAUGCAAACAUCUUUUACAAAUGGACAGUAAACAAAUAUAUCCCUGGAUGAGACACGCAGCCGCCGGGGACAGCGGUUUUGAAAACAAAGUGGGAUUUGGGAAGGACCCCACCACACACAUGCCUGUGAGCUUUCUGAAAGUGCACACGCAACCAACACAACAUUAUUAAGGUGCUUCUCCAAGCUGUGGAUUUGCUGCUGUCGGUGGUCUGGUGGGAAGGGCGAUGCGCAGGCUGAGCCUGGCUGCACCGCUGCAGAAGACGAGGCUCGGGCAGCACGCAGCGACCCAGCAGAGCCGACCUGGAACAGCAAGUUCAUACCAGCAGGAAGGGGGGAGUUUGGCUCCGUGUUACAGAGGCUGGUGUGAGCCGUGUUUCACCGCCGGUCAGGGCCCACGCGCCAGCCCGCAGGCAGGGAACGUCGAGAUGUGGUCCCAGGUGCUCACCGCUCGGGCAGGGGCCGGGGAAGCUGCCUUCCCACUUCUACAAAAAAUUGAGCCCUGAUUCCUAAGCCCCCCCGCAAGUAGAAUAUUACUGCAAGUUUUGUGUGUUUACUUCUGCUUUAAAAAAAGGUGCAAGUAUUUGCCCAAAUGAAUGAGUGCAGGAAGGCAGGACAGAACGUGGGAGAACUGUCACCAUUUGCUCCUUAAGUACCGGCCCGGGAGAAGGG